GAGUCCAGAGUCUCCGAGGCGACACACCAAGUAAGUAAAAAUUCUCACGCUGCAAAUUUGUUUCCUGAGAUUUUUCCAAUCAAUCUUCGUAAUCGCGAUUCUGAAGUAACCUAAUGAAAUUUACAGUUGUUGAAGCUCUGAAGAUUUAACUAAAUGGGAUGAUCAUGCGUCAGGCUUGAAAUCUGUUUGAUGGAUCAAUCAAAGAUAAGCAUGGAUUGGGAGGAAGCAUUCAAUCAGUAUAAAAACAUAAUUGCUUACCAGAAUGAGGACUUGCAAGUAAGAGCCACUAUCAGGCUUGCUCAACAAUCUUAUCAUGUUCCAGAAGAUAUAUUAGUGCGGACUGUGCCAAUACUUGCUGGGCUUCUUGCUUACCCUCCAAGGACUUUAAGCCCCGCUAUUCAAGAAGUUGCUGCUUACUGCUUAAAUUGCAUUGCUCGUCAGGGUGAUGGAAACAGAUUGGCAGAGAUUGUUGGUCAAUCCGGUGCCAUCACUUCAUUCUUGAGGUUGUUACCACAUUCUGAGGGCAGCUUUCAGAGAGUUCUGAUUAAAUGUAUUUGGAGUCUAGUCACUUGUUGUGACACAAAUCGGGCAAUAGUAGCCAGGAAUGGUGGGUUGGAAACUAUCAUCAGAAUGUUUAUUUCAUGUGUGGAUGGUACACGACGGUACUUGUUAGAGAUCUUAAGUGCAAUGGCUUUGUCGAAAGAGGCUAGGAGGGUUAUUUUCAGCUCAGGAGGCCUUUCCGUUCUUGUUGAAUCAGCUAGCCAUGGCAGCAUGAUUUCUAGGGAAAGAGCUGCUCAGGCAAUUGGAUUACUUGGAAUAACAAGAAGGGUAAAACGUAUGCUUGUUGAUGUGGGUGCAGUUCCAGUGCUUGUCGAGUUAUUGCGGGUUGGAGAUAUUCCGACAAAACUAGUUGCUGGUAAUGCUCUUGGUGUGAUAUCAGCUCAUGUUGAUCACAUUCGUCUAGUUGCUCAAGCUGGGGCUAUUCCUUUGUAUGCUGAGCUUCUUCGAGGACCCGAUCCCAUUGGCAGGGAGAUUGCAGAGGAUGUGUUUUCUAUCUUAGCUAUUGCUGAAGGGAAUGCAGUUGCGAUUGUUGAACACUUGGUGACGAUUCUUCAAGGAGAUGGCGACGAAGCAAAGGCUGCAGCUGCUGAUGUUCUAUGGGGUCUUUCUGGUUAUAAGCAUUCAGUAUCAGUUGUUCAAAAUGCUGGUGCCAUACUGAUUUUAAUUGAGCUUUUGAGGAAUGGGAAUAAUGAAGUCAGAGAGAAGGUGUCUGGGGCAAUUGCCCAACUGAGUUAUGAUGCAGUGGGCAGAACAGUGCUAGCUGAUUCUGGGGCAAUUCCAGUGCUUAUUGAUUUGCUACGAGAUGAUUCAGAUGAGUUGAGGGAUAAUGCUGCAGAAGCCCUGAUCAAUUUUUCUGAAGACCCAUUACAGCAUGGUAGAAUAUCUGAAGCAUUUGAUAACCCUUCUUUCCAAAGUAUGCAGAAUAGACUACUUCAAAUUCAUGCAUCUGAGGAACACAUGAUUAGAUCUAUGAGAAGCAUUAGCAUUGAGCAGCUCAGCAGGGACCAAGAUUGAUUGCUCUGUGUACCCUUGUGGAACCCGGUGAUGAUAUGGCACUGACGUGACAAGUGGGGCCUAAUGAUGACGUGGCGUUGAUGUGACAGUGUGGCCUAGUGCUAACGUGGCAGUGGAGCCUAGUGAUGAUUAUGCUAAAUUAUACCAGGUUUGGUGCAGCAAAUGUGGUGGUGUUGGCAUUAAAUUUUGGGGCUUUAGCUUUGUAAGCAGCCACAGGGAUACUGGUUUGGUUUUCCCAUGGCAAUUGACUCUGGUUCCAAGUCGAGAAACAAAGAGCAAACAUGGAGGUAGGACUUGCAGGAAAGAAGAAUGAAAAAAAUUAACAAAAAAAAUCUGCAGUCUAAUGACGUGAAUAUUUGUGAACAAACUGCCACUAAAACUUGUUCAAUAUGCAACAUUUCGUGUCUUGCAAGAGAGGGAGAACAUAUUAGACUAGAUUUUAUAUUAGCCAGGUGCAGGUUCGCAGAAGACACAUUCAUUUUGGAAGGGCUGCCAGAAUAAAUGUUCUAUAAAGAUAAAAGCAUUUCAUCAGACAAUUUUGCCUUAUUAGUGACGACUUCAAAUCAUUUUGUAAUCUGAUUAAAAAAAUGAUACCAUGCGUAUGGUUAGCAAGCCUGCAUAACUAAUACUGCAUUUGGGAGUAUGGAUUUCGACAUUAGAUUUAGAUUUGGGUGGAUUUGGAAAAAUUUUAGUACAAUUUUAUAUUACAUCUUAUAUAAAUCCAAUACAAAUCCAAAUCUAAGAUCUCUCUAAACAUGAGAUCAGUGUUUGGAAGUAUGGAUUUUGGAUCCUAAAUUUGGAUUUGGAUGGAUUUGGACAAAUUUCAAUACAAUUUUAUGUAUCAACUUAUCCAAA
This is an RNA transcript of Malania oleifera, 2430 nucleotides long. It is a transcript of the gene named vacuolar protein 8, with no coding region annotated. The transcript has 6 exons. NCBI's taxonomy places the organism in Eukaryota, Viridiplantae, Streptophyta, Magnoliopsida, Santalales, Ximeniaceae. The record is from RefSeq and is a predicted model, not a curated record.